GAGGAAGGGAGAGUAUAUGUCUGUGUGUCUGACUUUACCUUUGAAACGGCGGACGGGCCCAUAAAGGAGACAGAGGACAUCCAACUCAUAAAACCCCAAAUAUUGAUGAGAGCGAGACGUGAGGCGGCGGGGCGGAGUAGAUGGAUUUCAAUAGGAGUUAAGUGUGAUGGAGGAAGAGUCCCGGACGAGGAGGAGGGACGCGUAGAGAGCAAGGAAGCGAGGCACCAAGAGCAACGAGAGAAAAAGAUGUUCUCCCCCAUCCAUACAAAUCAAGCUGUCUGUGUCGGCUGCGGCGAGUGCACCGCGCCGAAGCGACGGGCCUCAGUGCAGUCGGAGAAAGUCGUGUCAUCUUUGAACUCGGACUUGACGAUAGGGGAGCUCAGAGAAGAAAGGCCCGACUUGACUUCAAACGCGUCCCUGUUGUCUCCACCCCAUCUCAACUGCAAAGGAGGCGCAGCCCUGGAAAUCAACCCCCUAAGCCUCCUCACUAUUGUCUGUACUGCGACUAUGGAUUUGCCUCUUCCUCCCCUCCUCCAUCCUCCACUGUUCCUGUUUGCUCCUCUUUUUAUCUUGGGUAGAGCAUUUGAAUGUGCUAAUGCCUGUAGCUUUGGAGUGUGCAAUAGAUGUAGUUUAUAUCACUGUUAAUUAUUACUCAAACAAAAUUUCGGGCUCCAAUUUGUUCAGAUCACUGCAUGAAGAUAUGAAUUAAUAUUGCAGGGAUGUGAAUGAAUAAAACAGGCUUUUGUGAAUGCGGAGGGCGAAAAAAUGCAAACUAUGUAAAAUUACCUCAAUUAUAGAACAUUUAAAAAGCACCCGAGAGCAUGAUUAAAAAAAAUUCUUUUGUUCACUGUUGUCUACAGUUUAUGUGCUGGAGUUGCAUCAGUUUCCGGGGUUUUGCAUACAGUAUUUUUGCGUGUUUCAGGGUUUCUGCUUGAGAAAGAAAGAGAUGCAAUGAUGCAACCAGAGGAAAAAGAGGGUCAAGAAAG
Gasterosteus aculeatus aculeatus (three-spined stickleback) is the source of this 986-nucleotide long non-coding RNA. The record is from Ensembl. NCBI's taxonomy places the organism in Eukaryota, Metazoa, Chordata, Actinopteri, Perciformes, Gasterosteidae.